Long non-coding RNA from Physella acuta, 704 nucleotides. RefSeq lists it as uncharacterized. NCBI's taxonomy places the organism in Eukaryota, Metazoa, Mollusca, Gastropoda, Physidae. The record is from RefSeq and is a predicted model, not a curated record.
CAGAGCGCAUCUUUGUUUUAACCUCAAGAGGAUUUAGAUUCAAAACCUAUUUUAAUUUUUGGAUCUCGUUUAUUAUCUUACAGAGGAGCAAUGUGCUGAAAUAUAAGGCAAGACCAACAAGGUGUAAGAAGGAUUGCUAAUGUAAUCAGAAACUUGAUGGCUGAGAUAAAGCGGCUGAGGAGAACAGGCUUGUGACUGGGAAUAGGUUGGUGGAACUUGUGUACAGCCCUUUCUAUGUUCAACCCAUGUCUCAGGUGGAAGUACAUUCAGUACAGUUUUCAUGGAGAUCCAGCUUUAUUCAAGGCUCAUCUUAAAGAGAAUGAUGUGGCUGCUGGGACAUAACUUAAGUCUACAUACAACUGCUUGCAGAUCUCAAGAAGCCUGGGGUUCUCAUGCAGCACCGCAAGCACUCAGGCUGAUUGGGAAGUUAAUUUCUGGUCCUUUGAUAAAGUUGAUUUACAAGAACGCAAUGUGGCGAUCAGUUGUACUCUGUUUCUUAAAGUCAUGGAAGCGUUGUUGACUUCUACUGAGCCUUUCUUGGUGCGACAGCUGGAGAGGUAUCUGAUGGGAAAUCUGAUUGGUGUUCAGCUGGUGGGAGCAAGGUGAUCAGGGUGUGUCGCAAUACAGUGGAAGGACUAUUAAAAGACUGCCAGCAACAAAACAAAAGUCAGCUCUUUACACCAUAAGCUACUGGGCAGAGGAUG